Albula goreensis is the source of this 75-nucleotide non-coding RNA. The record is from the annotation of a GenBank genome assembly. Lineage: Eukaryota; Metazoa; Chordata; Actinopteri; Albuliformes; Albulidae.
AUCUCUGUGGUGCAAUUGGUCUAGUGCGUUUGGCUGUUACCUGAAAGGUCAGUGGUUCGAGCCCACCCAGGGACG